This 265-nucleotide ribosomal RNA is filed under the name uncultured bacterium. RNAcentral describes it as "partial 16S ribosomal RNA". It matches the Rfam family "Bacterial small subunit ribosomal RNA", at positions 793 to 1055 of the family's 1533-position model. The record is from RNAcentral.
GUCCACGCCGUAAACUAUGGAUACUAGCUGUUGGAGGUAUCGACCCCUUCAGUAGCGAAGCUAACGCGUUAAGUAUCCCGCCUGUGGAGUACGGUCGCAAGACUAAAACAUAAAGGAAUUGACGGGGACCCCGCACAAGCGGUGGAGCGUGUUCUUUAAUUCGAUGAUAAACGAAGAACCUUACCAGGGCUUGACAUCCCUUGAAUUACUAUGAAAGUAGUUAGUGCUUUAUUGAGCAAGGUGACAGGUGUUGCAUGGCCGUCGU